Molecule: ribosomal RNA, 482 nt
Filed under: uncultured bacterium
Lineage: Bacteria
Description: bacterial SSU rRNA
Rfam family: Bacterial small subunit ribosomal RNA
Source: RNAcentral
AUUGAACGCUGGCGGCAUGCCUUACACAUGCAAGUCGAACGGUAACGGGCCUUCGGGUGCCGACGAGUGGCGAACGGGUGAGUAAUGUAUCGGAACGUACCUUUCAGUGGGGGAUAACGUAGCGAAAGUUACGCUAAUACCGCAUAUUCUGUGAGCAGGAAAGCAGGGGAUCGCAAGACCUUGCGCUGAUUGAGCGGCCGAUAUCAGAUUAGCUAGUUGGUGAGGUAAAGGCUCACCAAGGCGACGAUCUGUAGCGGGUCUGAGAGGAUGAUCCGCCACACUGGAACUGAGACACGGUCCAGACUCCUACGGGAGGCAGCAGUGGGGAAUUUUGGACAAUGGGGGCAACCCUGAUCCAGCCAUGCCGCGUGAGUGAAGAAGGCCUUUGGGUUGUAAAGCUCUUUCGGCCGGGAAGAAAUCGUAUGGGUUAAUACCCUGUGCGGAUGACGGUACCGGCAUAAGAAGCACCGGCUAACUACGUG